This 64-nucleotide transfer RNA is filed under the name Phallusia fumigata. Its description in RNAcentral is "transfer RNA-His". Lineage: Eukaryota; Metazoa; Chordata; Ascidiacea; Phlebobranchia; Ascidiidae. The record is from RNAcentral.
UUUAGGGUAGUUUAUGAAAAACGUGAGUUUGUGGUACUUGAGAAGCAGGUAACUGUAUCUAAAU